AGAGUUUGAUCCUGGCUCAGGACGAACGCUGGCGGCGUGCUUAGCACAUGCAAGUCGAACGGAAAGGCCCUGCUUGCAGGGUACUCGAGUGGCGAACGGGUGAGUAACACGUGGGUGAUCUGCCCUGCACUUCGGGAUAAGCCUGGGAAACUGGGUCUAAUACCGGAUAGGAGCCAUUUUUAGUGUGAUGGUUGGAAAGUUUUUUCGGUGUAGGAUGAGCUCGCGGCCUAUCAGCUUGUUGGUGGGGUAAUGGCCUACCAAGGCGGCGACGGGUAGCCGGCCUGAGAGGGUGGACGGCCACAUUGGGACUGAGAUACGGCCCAGACUCCUACGGGAGGCAGCAGUGGGGAAUAUUGCACAAUGGGCGCAAGCCUGAUGCAGCGACGCCGCGUGGGGGAUGACGGCCUUCGGGUUGUAAACUCCUUUCGCUAGGGACGAAGCUUUUUGUGACGGUACCUAGAUAAGAAGCACCGGCUAACUACGUGCCAGCAGCCGCGGUAAUACGUAGGGUGCGAGCGUUGUCCGGAAUUACUGGGCGUAAAGGGCUCGUAGGUGGUUUGUCGCGUCGUCUGUGAAAUUCCGGGGCUUAACUCCGGGCGUGCAGGCGAUACGGGCAUAACUUGAGUACUGUAGGGGUAACUGGAAUUCCUGGUGUAGCGGUGAAAUGCGCGAUAUCAGGAGGAACACCGAUGGCGAAGGCAGGUUACUGGGCAGUUACUGACGCUGAGGAGCGAAAGCAUGGGUAGCGAACAGGAUUAGAUACCCUAGUAGUCC
RNAcentral lists this ribosomal RNA (774 nucleotides) under uncultured bacterium. Its description in RNAcentral is "bacterial SSU rRNA". It matches the Rfam family "Bacterial small subunit ribosomal RNA", at positions 8 to 796 of the family's 1533-position model. The record is from RNAcentral.